UACGGAGGGUGCAAGCGUUUAUCCGGAAUCACUGGGCGUAAAGAGCGCGUAGGUGGCGCGACAAGUCAGUGGUGAAAGUUCGACGCUCAACGUCGAAUCGGCCACUGAUACUGUUGGGCUUGAGCACUGGUAGAGGCUAAUGGAAUUCCGGGUGUAGCGGUGGAAUGCCGUAGAGAUCCGGAAGAACACCGGUGGCGAAGGCGGUUAGCUGGGGCAGUUGC
Molecule: ribosomal RNA, 221 nt
Filed under: uncultured bacterium
Lineage: Bacteria
Description: partial 16S ribosomal RNA
Rfam family: Bacterial small subunit ribosomal RNA
Source: RNAcentral